UUUUUUAAUGGUUCCAAAGAAUAUGUCAUUAACCUAUAUUCCAUUUUAUUGGUCAAAACUUUACUGUCUCUGAUAUUUACCAUUCUCUCUCUCUCAUAAUAUCCCCACAUCUUCAAUGUCUACAUCAACGUCAUACCUACAAACUAUUCUGACUAAAACUUAACGCCUCCAGUUUUUUUCUUCAGAAAAAAAGCCUUUUGUGCUUAAAAACUUCCAUCUAUGUAGACAAAUUAUAAGGCGAGCAAUUUUCUUCAGUGUUACCUCUGCAGACAUUUGCCCAGAAAAAGACUAAUAGCAAAGUAGAUGAACCAAUCGACUUGAUAUUUUUCAGGCAAUGCUCUAAUAUUCUAGGUUCAACUGACCCACAGGCCAUUUCUUACAAGGUAUGUGAACCACCAGGAAAAGGACACGGUUCAGAGGUUUGAGGGGACAGUCAUUUGCCAGGGUCUGGCUGCAGGUUUCACUGAUGAGCAAAGGACCUCUAAGGAGAGACGACAGUGUAACCUGUGGGGCUCUGCUGAUGAUGGAGUCGAGCCCAAUUCUUGGAUUUUCAAUGAUCAGAGACUUGCUCCUUGAUCAGUUCUAUUUUAGAUUUGCUUACCUUAAUGUCUCAGCACUCAGCCCUUGCCUACCUGCUUACCUUUCAGUCUGCAAUCUCAGGCUGGAAUCUGACACUAGUUUGGUCAACUCAUCAGCUUGUUAAUGCCCUAGCCCUGCAGAGGCAGACUCACUUUCUAUCCUUCAGCUGGUGUUGUAAGCUUAGAUCCUAAUUCCUGCUUCUAAGUCUCCAUCCAGACUUCAUUCUUGAUGCUGAUAAUCAGUUGUAUUUUCCAAUCCCAACUUAAAUUCAAGUUCUAACAGUGAUGUGACUUCCCUACAAAAUGAAUCACAACUGGAAAGCUGUUUUUCAUGUCACUCUAGAUGCAUCUCUAUGAAGCAGAAAUGAGCUCAAUAAAAAAGGAAAUUAAGGGGCACCUGGGUGGCUCAGUGGUUGAGUGCCUGCCUUUGGCUCAGGUCAUGAUCCCGGGGUCCUAGGAUCGAAUCCCACAUCAGGCUCCCCGCAGGGGAUCUGCUUCUCCCUCUGCCUGUGUCUCUGCCUCUCUCUGUGUGUCUCUCAUGAAUAAAUAAAUAAAAUCCUUAAAAAAAAAAAGAAAAGGAAAUUAAGAAAUUACUACAGACAUGAAAUUUUCACUAAAGGUCUUUAAAUAAUAAAAUAGCUUCUCUUUUCAAAUUUAUUAUUAAUUUUUAGUCUCUAUAAAGUUAUUAGGAAUAAAGGGAAAAUCGCUCUUAUUUCUAACACUCAGAGAUAAUCACUGUUAACAUUUUGACACAUAUCCUUCCAGACUAUUCUUUUCCAUCAAUAAAUAGAUAGGUAAAUAGAUACAAAAAUGAGGUCAUGUUAUAAUUUCUAUUAUUUUGUGACUACCUUUAUUGCCUUAAAAAAGACAAAGACCAUCUUGUGGCUGAGUGAAGUAAGUCAGUCGGAGAAGGACAAACAUUAUAUGUUCUCAUUCAUGUGGGGAAUAUAAAUAAUAGUGAAAGGGAAUAUAAGGGCAGGGAGAAGAAAUGUGUGGGAAAUAUCAGAAAGGGAGACAGAACGUAAAGACUGCUAACUCUGGAAAACGAACUAGGGGUGGUAGAAGGGGAGGAGGGCGGGAGGUGGGAGUGAUUGGGUGGCACUGGGGGUUAUUCUGUAUGUUGGUAAAUUGAACACCAAUAAAAAAUAAAUAAAUAAAUAAAUAAAAUAAAAUAAAAUAAAAUAAAACCUUAAAAAAAAAAAAGACCAUCUUGUGGCACAAUUUUUUCUUUAUAUCACCACUUUAAUGGCAAAAUAGAAUUCCAUUGUAGGAAGGUACCAUAAUUUAUUAGGCAUCUAUUUAAAUAAUCUUUUCCAUGAAGGUACAUGUUUGAUGAAUGAUAAUUUGUUACAGCUGAAGACCAAAUACAGUCAACUACAAGAUGCUAAAGAAACCUUAGGUACACCCCAAGAUUAAUGACUGAAAAGAAUUACUAAUAAGAUCUUUCAUGCCUUAUUACUGGCACAUAAACAAGAUGGUACUAAACAUUCAAACUUCUGAUCUGGAUAAAAUCUACGAAUAUGUCUUCUUGCCCGGUAUUUUUACUGCCAUUGUCUCCUUAAGCAACUAGGAAAUUCAAUGAAAUCUAAACGUUCCUCUCAGCUCUAUCACAACAGACCAGGUAAACAGCUCUAUCUGCUUAAUAUGUUAAGAAAAGAGCCAGAGAAAUGUAAUACCUCAGAAACCAUUAAAAAAUAAUAAAAGUUUCACAAUGAAAACAACCAAAAAACACGCCCUCCUCAUUUUAUUAGGAAGAAACACAGUACCUCUUACGGCCAAGGGCAGGGGUAGGAGUUAAGGAAAAAUAAUAAUUACAUACUAUUUUUCACAAGCAUUUGUAUGAGAUUUUAAAAGAACAAAAAACGUCAAGCUAUACAUAGCGGCAGACUAUAGAAAAUACAACUAUUGUGAAUCACUCCAUCCUAGAAAGCAGAAAGACUAGGAUUUGUAGACACCACCAGGCAGAUGUUUACCACUAAAACUCUCCUCCAGAUGUUAAUACAGAACAAGCAAAUACUUGAAUUUAAUAUGCUUCUUUACAUAUGCGUAAUUUUUCCCCCAAAUAUGUAAAGAUUUAUACCUCUACAAUACUACACGAUUUCAAGAUACCUAAAUACAGUGUCCAAUAACUUUGUUUACAUGGUAAACGUGAUUAUAAAUUUCUUUUAGACUCAGAUGUAUAAUAACUACUUCCUGAUUUCUAAGAGAAUCAACGUGAAUUGAAAAUUACAGUACAGGUAGAGGAAAUGUCAUUUAUUUGAUCAUACAUUCUUUCCAUAAGCCUCUAUGAUCGGACUUUAGGAUCCAAAUCUUGCCGGAAAUUCUCUUUUCCAUGGUCAUCAGUGACUUCCUUCAUACAAUAUGCAGCACUUCUCAUUCUUACAUUUUCCUUUCCUAGCAUUUCUUAUGUGGAGGCUGAGAAAAUUAAGGCCAUUCCACUUUAAGUUCCGCGUUAGCACAAGUACAGCCAUCCCAGGCCCCUGUGAAUAAGAGCUGAACUUUACUUCAGUUACAGGAAGAAAACAGCUUACAGCUUAACGUCCUAGAAAGCCCCAUAUUAGAAUAAAAACAGAGCCCAAGCCAAGGGCAGGAAGCCCCUACUAGAAUAAGAACAGAGCUCAAUGCCC
This 3205-nucleotide long non-coding RNA is filed under the name Canis lupus familiaris (dog). Its description in RNAcentral is "lncRNA (ENSCAFG00000050816.1)". Lineage: Eukaryota; Metazoa; Chordata; Mammalia; Carnivora; Canidae. The record is from RNAcentral.